RNAcentral lists this ribosomal RNA (263 nucleotides) under uncultured bacterium. Its description in RNAcentral is "partial 16S ribosomal RNA". It matches the Rfam family "Bacterial small subunit ribosomal RNA", at positions 793 to 1055 of the family's 1533-position model. The record is from RNAcentral.
GUCCACGCCGUAAACGAUGGGCGCUAGGUGUGGGCGGUGUCGACUCCGUCCGUGCCGAAGCUAACGCAUUAAGCGCCCCGCCUGGGGAGUACGGCCGCAAGGCUAAAACUCAAAGGAAUUGACGGGGGCCCGCACAAGCAGCGGAGCAUGUGGUUUAAUUCGACGCAACGCGAAGAACCUUACCAGGGCUUGACAUGCACGAGAAAAUCGUGGAAACACGAUCCCCCGCAAGGGCUCGUGCACAGGUGGUGCAUGGCUGUCGU